AGCGCCCGCCCGGGGCCCGGCGGGAGCGGCCGCGGCUCCUCCCCGGCCCCUCCUCGGCACCCCGAGCCCUCCCUCCUCCUCCUUCUCCUCCUCCUCCUGCUGCUGCUGCUGCUCUUCUCCUCCUCCUCCCGCCACCGCUUUGUGUACGGCGCGCUCCGGCCCUGCCGCCCCCCCCCCUUCUCCUUCAUUCCCUCCAUCUCCCCCAUUCCCGGGCGGUUCGAGCCGGUUCCACCGUCACCGAUUCCCCCCCACCUCCAUCUCCCGCCGCUGUCGCCGUCAUCCCCGGGAGGCUCUGCUGCCUUCAUCCCCCCCAUUUCCCCGCGACCCCCGCCUCACCUUCCUCAGCGCUGCCGCCGCUCGCUCCUAUGGGGCUCCGCUCUCCUCUCCCCGCAGGGCGCGGGGGCAGGUGACAUGAGCCCCCCUCCCCACCUCGCCUCACACUUGGCGGGAUGCUGAGGAGGAGGAUGAAGAUGGUGAUGAAGAAGGAAUUAUCCCUGGCUCUGCUCGCCCUCUGCAAAAAUCUCCCACCUCAGGCAAGUGUUGGAUCUACCUGGAUGGGUUUCACCCACCUUGCCGCCCUUGACAUGCUCAGGGAAGCAGUUCCAGGCAGGAAUUUCAAGGUUGAAAAUCCAAAUUUUCCCCAUUUUCUCCACCUUGGAAGGAUCAGGAUCCAACAUCUGGGAAAGAAUCCAUCAGAACAGGAGAAUGAGAAUAAUAAAGUAAAUUUUAUUUUUACUAAUUUAAUAUAUUUUAAUUUAAAUACAUGAAGCACUUAAGUAUAUUUCAAAUCUUGCUUUAAUUCCUUUUUUUUUUUUUUCACAUUCCUCAUGAAAUUUGGGAUGGGACAGAAAUUGGAGAACCCUGAGCUCUCAAACUUUUAAUUUAAUUAAUUUAAUUUAAAUUUUUUAGGAAUAAACCCAAAUUUUCUGUGCCACAAUGAAUUCCAAAGUAAAGAAAGGAGAUUUUUAGGGAUUCUGGGGAUGAUUAAGGACUAAUUAAGGACUAAUUAGGGAAGUUGUUCUGAGCCAAAGCAGAUUUUUAUCUCUGGACUAAUUUAAAUUUGGGAUGGGCCCUUCCCACGCUUUUUGUGCUGCUAAAAAUAGAAUUUUUUAUUAAACUCUCUUUUCCCAGGUGCCAAAAUGUUGAUUAAAAUAACGAUUAAAAAUAAUGAGAAAAAUCUUUUAUCUUUGGGAUGAGAUUUAAGGAGAAAAAUUCAGAAUUCAGGGUACCCAGAAGAGGUUUUGGGUUGUGGGUAAAGAAUGAGUUUGGGCAGGAAAAUUCCCAAAACUGGGGGGAAACAGUAAAAAAAAAAAAAAAAGUGGAAAAAACAGCCCCAAAAAUGAGGGAAAAUAGCCCAAAAAAAAAGAGGGGAAAAUAGACAAAAAAAAAUGAGGGGGGAGUAGCCCAAAAAUGAGGAAAAAUAGCUCAAAAUUUGAGGGAAAACAGCAAAAAUAUCUCAUUUUUUGGGGU
Long non-coding RNA from Oenanthe melanoleuca, 1470 nucleotides. RefSeq lists it as uncharacterized. The transcript has 3 exons. NCBI's taxonomy places the organism in Eukaryota, Metazoa, Chordata, Aves, Passeriformes, Muscicapidae. The record is from RefSeq and is a predicted model, not a curated record.